Molecule: ribosomal RNA, 247 nt
Filed under: uncultured bacterium
Lineage: Bacteria
Description: partial 16S ribosomal RNA
Rfam family: Bacterial small subunit ribosomal RNA
Source: RNAcentral
AUACGGAGGGUGCAAGCGUUGUUCGGAUUCAUUGGGCGUAAAGCGAGUGUAGGCGGUUUGACAAGUCGGAUGUGAAAUCCCGGGGCCCAACCCCGGAACUGCAUCCGAUACUGUCUGGCUAGAGUCCCGGAGAGGGUGGCGGAAUUCCCGGUGUAGGGGUGAAAUCCGUAGAUAUCGGGAGGAACACCAGUGGCGAAGGCGGCCACCUGGACGGUGACUGACGCUGAGACUCGAAAGCGUGGGUAGC